RNAcentral lists this microRNA precursor (104 nucleotides) under Jatropha curcas. Its description in RNAcentral is "mir-395 microRNA precursor family". It matches the Rfam family "mir-395 microRNA precursor family". Rfam says of the family: mir-395 was identified in both Arabidopsis thaliana and Oryza sativa computationally and was later experimentally verified. mir-395 is thought to target mRNAs coding for ATP sulphurylases. The mature sequence is excised from the 3' arm of the hairpin. The record is from Rfam by way of RNAcentral. Lineage: Eukaryota; Viridiplantae; Streptophyta; Magnoliopsida; Malpighiales; Euphorbiaceae.
GUGUCCCCUUGAGUUCCCUCGACCACUUCAUUGGGGGAAUGUCCGUUUGCUUAUAAUAUAAUUAGUAACCCUACUGAAGUGUUUGGGGGAACUCUGGGUGCCAU